GAUGAACGCUAGCGGCAGGCUUAACACAUGCAAGUCGAACGGCAGCACAGGUAGCAAUACUGGGUGGCGAGUGGCGCACGGGUGCGUAACGCGUAUGCAACCUACCUCUAUCUGGGAGAUAGCCCGAAGAAAUUCGGAUUAAUACCCCAUAAUAUAUGUCUUUCGCAUGUUAGACAUAUUAAAGCUUUGGCGGAUAGAGAUGGGCAUGCGUGACAUUAGCUAGUUGGUAAGGUAACGGCUUACCAAGGCUACGAUGUCGUAGGGGGUCUGAGAGGAUUAUCCCCCACACUGGUACUGAGACACGGACCAGACUCCUACGGGAGGCAGCAGUGAGGAAUAUUGGACAAUGGGCGAAAGCCUGAUCCAGCCAUGCCG
Molecule: ribosomal RNA, 375 nt
Filed under: uncultured bacterium
Lineage: Bacteria
Description: bacterial SSU rRNA
Rfam family: Bacterial small subunit ribosomal RNA
Source: RNAcentral